AGAGCGAACGCUGGCGGCAGGCCUAACACAUGCAAGUCGAACGAACCCUUCGGGGUUAGUGGCAGACGGGUGAGUAACACGUGGGAACGUGCCUUUUGGUUCGGAACAACUCAGGGAAACUUGAGCUAAUACCGGAUGUGCCCUUCGGGGGAAAGAUUUAUCGCCAUUAGAGCGGCCCGCGUCUGAUUAGCUAGUUGGUGAGGUAAAGGCUCACCAAGGCUUCGAUCAGUAGCUGGUCUGAGAGGAUGAUCAGCCACACUGGGACUGAGACACGGCCCAGACUCCUACGGGAGGCAGCAGUGGGGAAUCUUGCGCAAUGGGACGAAAGCCUGACGCAGCCAUGCCGCGUGAAUGAUGAAGGUCUUAGGAUUGUAAAAUUCUUUCACCGGGAUGACAAUGACAGUACCGGAAGAAGAACGCCCCGCUAACCUUCGACGCCAGCCAGCCGC
Molecule: ribosomal RNA, 449 nt
Filed under: uncultured soil bacterium
Lineage: Bacteria
Description: bacterial SSU rRNA
Rfam family: Bacterial small subunit ribosomal RNA
Source: RNAcentral